Sus scrofa (pig) is the source of this 3759-nucleotide non-coding RNA. The record is from RefSeq and is a predicted model, not a curated record. NCBI's taxonomy places the organism in Eukaryota, Metazoa, Chordata, Mammalia, Artiodactyla, Suidae.
GCCCGGGGGCGGAUUCGGGCCCGGGGGCGGAGCCGUGCGGCUUGUGCCAAGGGAAGGCAGCGCGCGGGCUGCACGGCCGGUGUGCGGGCCGACGAUCAAGUUCAGGCUGCCAGCCCCGGGCCCGGCGGUGCCAUGGACGGCCUGCGCCAGCGCUUCGAGCGCUUUCUGGAACAGAGGAACUUGGCCACCGAAGCGCUAGGGGCGCUCGAAGCCAAGACCGGUGUCGACAAGCGGUACUUGGCCGCGGGUGAGCCGUCGGGGGGAGCGCUUGGGGCGACACCCCCUUUUGCCAAAGAGCACUCUGAAGCCCUGGGCCACGAGGGCCUCAGGCAUGCCCCCUCCGGCCGGCGCCGGCUGCGGGGUCUAGAUAGGGCGGCGGGGCGCGCCCACAGCCCAGCGAGGAGACUGAGAUCCUAGGGAGGGGUCAUGGACGAGGACCUUCGUUCUGCCCUCAGCCCCUCUCUGCCCCAAGCAAUGCGACCUCGGACUUGGGCCACCCCUUAUCUCGGCCCCGCAACACCCCCACUCGAGCCAUCAGGUCUGGAGGCUGUCCUCUGCCCCUUCUUUUCAGGCCCUGGGUUCCCGCCAGGCAGAAGUCCGGUUCUUCCAGUUGUCCUGCUGGUCCCGGGGGAGGAGGGGGCAGGAGAUAGCCAGUUCCCUGCCAGUGUCACCAGCCCCUUCCCUGAUGGAUCCAAGCCUGGAAGCAAUUGUAGAGAUCUUCUUUUCCCAGAGAAUGCUCCAGACAAGGAGGGGAAGAGUCACUCCCACCUCCCCUUCCUUUGUUUUCCUGCUAGGAUUCCCCUUCUCUCCACCCAACCUUGGCCUGGCCUCUCCCUCCCCUGCCUGGAAUUGGGUUGCUUGACCGAUGUGGUGGGUUUAGAGAAAGGUUGGAUGGGGCCAACAGAGAGGGAGAUCCAGCCACCCCUAAUUGUCACUCUCUUUCCAGUCCCUCCUCUGCCUUUCCUCCUCAAUGACCUUGUGGGGCUCCUGACAUCCUCUGAAACACUUCCCUCUCCUCUUUUUCUGUACUCCAAGUCCAUCUGUUUGUUGCCACCCGUUCCAGGAAGCCCCCCAGAAUGAAUCACAGGACACUGUUUGGACACUAGGGGGAAGGGACCCUAAGCGAGGAUGUGCACAUGUUUUGAGCACCUGUGUAUAGAUCCCGAGAGUCUGCUUUCCUCCCAUUUCUCCACCAACUGGGGAUUCCCAUGCUGGGCAGCCCAAGGAGGGUCCGAAACCUGCCCCCUGCCCCAGGUUCCUGGUCCCCAACUCAUGCUGACUCAGCCAGGAACCUGCCCCUGGGAGCCAAUGCUUGACCUCGUGUCUGCCUUUUCACAUCUCUGAUACCAGUGGGUGGGGAAUUUAGGUCAAAGAGCACUUGGGAGGGGCCCUCUGGGGAUGCUAGGGGUUCACAGGAAGGAAACUGAGGUUCGGGGUGACAGGGGCUGCAUGGGAGCAUCCACUCCCCCAACCCCCACAACCUUUCCCAGGGCUCCAUCUGUUGCUGAUCUCCAGGGCCAUGUCCCCGCCCAUGUCCAAGGUCAUCCUCCCUUUGCUGAGACUGCAGGAAUAGGGAUUGAGGGGAAGGGUGCCCAGGGAGAGCUGCUCCUCCCCACCUUGCGAUUUCCAGGGAAGGGGUGCCAUUCCCCCACCAGGAAUCCUUGGGCCCCACCUGCCUGAGAUGGCCAACUCCCCCUCCCAGCUACAGAGGAGGACACCCAGAGGAGGCAGCGACCAGGCCUCCUAGGGCCAGCCAGGGAUUCCCCUCCCUCUCCUGACCCUAGACGCCAGGGAUUAAAGCUAAAGCAGGUGGAGAGGAAGGUGGAGGUGACUCUGCCCUUUGGUCCCCUAGUGGCCUCUAUUCCUCUCUGCAGAUAACAGGCUGGAGGUGCAGGGGUGGAGAGGCUGAAAAUGCUCCUAGGAGCCAGAGGCUCCCCGAGUGACCCUGUGCAAGCCCCGCUCACCCCAGCUUCCGUUUUGUCCCAGCUGUUGAAUGAGAUGGAGCUGAGAGGGACAGAGCCCUGUACACGAGAAUCACUUAAUAAAGGCAGCGGUGAUGAUUAUGAUUGCAGAGUGGCUGACGCUCCUGGCCCUCACGUCCCACAAUUUUCUUCUCUGAUCCUCAUUGCCAGGAGUGUAUUUGGGCCACCAGAAGGGCUGACUAAAUGCAUAGGGAAGGGUCCUCUCCGCUGAGUCUUAUUUAGCUGACCUCUCAGCAACCCUAGUAGGCAGGGCUACUCUAUGCCCCUGACAGAUGGGAAAACUGAUGCUCCAAGCAGAGAGCCCCAGUCCACGGGACUCUCAAUACGACACCUUGCACCCUCCCACGAAGACAGGGGCUCUCGAUCACGGCCAUGCAACCCCCAGAGGACACUGGGUAGUGUCUGGGGACAUCUGCAGAAGCCAUGAUUGAGAAUACUCCUGGCAUCAAGUGGAUGGGGGCCAGGGAUGAUGCUUUGCACCCCAGGUACAAUGCCCAGAACAGCCCCCCACCCCGAGAAUGACCUGGCCCCCGUGUCAGCUGUGGUGAGGAGAACACACCUGGACUAAGGAGCCGCCACUCUACUAAGCCUGUAUCUUCUGUUCGGCCACGGGGCGUCUCUGCUGUGCAACCUCAUCGGCUUUGCAUACCCAGCAUAUGCUUCAAUCAAAGCUAUCGAGAGCCCAAGCAAAGAGGACGACACUGUGUGGCUCACCUACUGGGUGGUGUACGGCCUGUUCGGGCUGGCCGAGUUCUUCAGCGAUCUACUCCUGUUCUGGUUCCCUUUCUACUACGCGGGCAAGUGCGCCUUCCUGUUGUUCUGCAUGAUUCCCGGCCCCUGGAACGGGGCUCACAUGCUGUAUCAUCGCGCCAUCCGUCCACUGUUUCUAAAGCAUCACGAGGCCGUGGACAGCAUCAUGAACGACCUCAGCGGACGGGCCCUGGAUGUGGCAGCCGGAAUAACUCGGGACGACAAAGCAAGCAUGACUCACCUCAAGAAGGGCAAGUGAAGCCCCUGGCCAGCCCCUGCAUGAAUGAGCCGGCUGGUGAGCUGGAGGACCUGUCACACCCCAAGUCCUCUGUGGAUUCCUCAACUGACUCCCCAGCAGAGCCCACCAGCAGCCCUUCAUCCCCAGCCAAGCCAGCCCUCAGGAGCUCCACCAACCUGGGCCAGUCCCAGCAUCAGUCCCUGGCCACUGGCUCUGCCAACAGCUCCCAGCUGCCCGGCAAGCUCCGGGGUGGGCUUCAGUCUCGGGCCAACUCCUCCAGCCAGCCGCAGGCUCCCGGCCAGCCCCAGGCCCCUGGCCAGGCCCAGGCCUCAGGCCAGACCCAGGCCCUGGGCCAGCAACAUGCCCGGCCCUCUACCUCUUCCUCAGGCCCUUCACAGACAGCCCGCCAGUCCUCAGGCUCCACACAGCGUCCCAGCACCUCCAGCCAGGUGGGCCCCCUUGUGCAGUCUCCCAGUAGUGCCGCCAUCCCCACACAACUCCCCAGUGAGACCCCUGAUGGGCCGGGGACCUCAGCCACCAAAACCUCCAAGUCGAACAGACAGCACCAGAAGCAGCCCCCAAGAAAGGCCACCAGCAGCACCUCAGUGCCCAGGCUGCCCGCCUCCUAUCAAUCUGCGUCCUCCCUGGAGUACUCCUCAGAGUCCACCACUGAGGUCACCUGCAGCUGGCCCCACCACCGACACGGGCUCCAAUACCUGCAGCACUGCUGGCGGCUGAAACACCUGGCCUGCUAGGGAGGGCUCAGUAAAAUUCAUCUGGACCAGCCUC